This 320-nucleotide unclassified non-coding RNA is filed under the name plant metagenome. RNAcentral's name for it is "partial contains 5.8S ribosomal RNA, internal transcribed spacer 2, and large subunit ribosomal RNA". The stretch from base 1 to 105 matches the Rfam family "5.8S ribosomal RNA", at positions 50 to 154 of the family's 154-position model. The record is from RNAcentral.
GAAAUGCGAUAAGUAAUGUGAAUUGCAGAAUUCAGUGAAUCAUCGAAUCUUUGAGCGCACAUUGCGCCCGCCAGUAUUCUGGCGGGCAUGCCUGUUCGAGCGUCAUUACAACCCUCAGGCCCCCGGGCCUGGCGUUGGGGAUCGGCGGAAGCCCCCUGCGGGCACAACGCCGUCCCCCAAAUACAGUGGCGGUCCCGCCGCAGCUUCCAUUGCGUAGUAGCUAACACCUCGCAACUGGAGAGCGGCGCGGCCACGCCGUAAAACACCCAACUUCUGAAUGUUGACCUCGAAUCAGGUAGGAAUACCCGCUGAACUUAAGC